GCUACUGUAUACUGCUGCUGUCCAGGGCCAGGGAGAGUUCUCUGCAGUCCUCUCAGAUCCAAGAUUCAGUGAGAAUACUUACUGACAUGAAAUCCUUGAAGGGAGAACAGAGAGACGGUAAGAAGCGAUGAGCUCCUGUGCUUGAGAUCCCACGUGGAACAGCCAUCUUAAACCUGAGUGCUGAACACUACUUUUCCAGCCAUAAUAAUUUAAUCAGAGGUCAAAGGUGAAGCAGGAAGUCAGACGGUCGAUGUUUACAGUUGACAGUUUUGGUGGGUGAGAGUGAAGCAGGCACAACUGCAGCGUGUUGUCAGGUUAGUGAAGUCCGGGGAGGUGUCCUUGAACUGAAGCGGCUCCUGAGACAACGCGCUCCCAAGCAGCCGUGAUCCCACAGUGGAGACGAGUGACACCCGCUGAGCGGAGAGGACAAGGUGGCGUUUUCAUUGCAUUGUGGUGCUUUGGCUCCAGUCAUACAGUAACGUUACUAACAGCUGAGGACUGGAAACAUGCUGCUUCCCCAUCAAACUUGGUCCCAGUGACCUUGACCUUUGACCUCCAAACUCUAAUCAGCUCAUCCUUGAGUCCGAGCGGAUAUUUUCUUCACUAGUCCUGAAGCAAAUUGUGAAGCAAGUGGCUGUGAUGCUGCUUUCAUGAGGAUAGAAUGAACAGCCAGACACAGAACCUGAACCUGCGCCUCCAGCCACCGCAGAGGCAUUAUUGGUCAAAACCAUCAAUACACAUCUUUUAAAAAUAUGAAACAUUAUUGGCUUAGAGUGAAAGAAAUCCCAGCUACAAAAGCCUGACUCAACUCUCUCGGCCGCCACCUCUCGCCUGCUUCCUAAAUCACCGUGUUCCUGCUCUGCUUUCCCUCGGCGUCAUGCUCCAGAGAUUCCAACAGGAAAGAAUAAAAAACCUGAGAGGAACCAGCGAAGACAGAUCCACCUGUACUUUCUCUCUCUCUUUUUGGCAAACACACAGCAUUUAAGAAUAGACCCGGAGACAUGGUUCACAGCAUCGAGGGCCAAGUGGACAGGGAGCGGAGUUCAGAGUUCAAACAUUCACCUGGUUGAGACUCAAGGCCCAUUCUAGUACUUUUCUCUCCUUUAUUUUCUGCUUUUGUUUAUUUCUCUUUUCAGUUCAGUGUUUGCGCUCUACUUUGCGGAUUCUGAUGACCAGGACUUCAUCAUGUGUUGACUGUAAUCACACGCUGCACACCGUGAGCUGUCAGCUCGAGGACGUGUAUGUUUCAAGGGUAAUUGCCAUAACUUAUCAUUUUGAAAUGAAUUUUGAUAUUGAAGAAUUUGAGAGCUUGAGCCGGUGCCUGUGUUUAAAUUUCCCUGGGUACGACUGCAGCAACGCAGGGCUGAAAUAUAUCAGGAGGAGGCCCGGCCUCAACCGAUUUUUAAUAUUAGGCCCGAUGUCAGCCAAGAUGGUAAAUUAUGGGACUCAGCUGUCAAUAG
This is a long non-coding RNA of Betta splendens (Siamese fighting fish), 1460 nucleotides long. RefSeq lists it as uncharacterized. The record is from RefSeq and is a predicted model, not a curated record. The transcript has 3 exons. Lineage: Eukaryota; Metazoa; Chordata; Actinopteri; Anabantiformes; Osphronemidae.